RNAcentral lists this ribosomal RNA (484 nucleotides) under uncultured bacterium. RNAcentral's name for it is "partial 16S ribosomal RNA". It matches the Rfam family "Bacterial small subunit ribosomal RNA", at positions 29 to 507 of the family's 1533-position model. The record is from RNAcentral.
AUUGAACGCUAGCGGGAUGCUUUACACAUGCAAGUCGAACGGCGGCGCGGACUUCGGUCUGGCGGCGCGUGGCGCACGGGUGUGUAAUGUAUCGGAACGUCCCCAGUAGCGGGGGAUAACUACGCGAAAGCGUAGCUAAUACCGCAUACGCCCUACGGGGGAAAGCAGGGGAUCGUAAGACCUUGUACUAUUGGAGCGACCGAUAUCGGAUUUGCUAGCUGGUGGGGUAAGGGCUCACUAAGCAGACGAUCGGUAGCUGGCUUGAGAGGACGGCUAGCCACACUGGAACGGAGACACGGCCCAGACGCCUACGGGAGGCAGCAGAGGGGAAUGUGGGACAAUGGGGGCAACCCUGAUCCAGCCAGCCCACGUGUGAGAUGAAGGCCUUGGGGUUGUAAAGCACUUUUGGCAGGAGAGAAACGUCGCGGGCUAAUACCCCGUGGAACUGACGGUACCUGCAGAAUAAGCACCGGCUAACUACGUG